RNAcentral lists this non-coding RNA (26 nucleotides) under Homo sapiens (human). The record is from RNAcentral. Lineage: Eukaryota; Metazoa; Chordata; Mammalia; Primates; Hominidae.
AUGUUGUUCAAGGGCCAACUGUGUGA